AGUUCUCAUUUGCUUUAGACAUAUCGCCAUCAUGAUUUUUGUAAGCUCCAGUGGAAAAAGGAUGGUAGUACAGUGGAAAAAAUGACUGAGUUUGUCUGAACUCUGAGGCCAACCACACUGCCUACGUUUGUUCUGCAGAGAGGAGUUUGUCUAGCCAUCGUCUAGUUGGUGGAUGUUUUCGAUUUUCAUAAAAAACAAGGAAGAGCUCCCUUUUUAUAUAUCUUUUUAUUCAUUAUACAGGAACUGAACUUGGCACACUUCUCUUUAGACACCAACUUUCGCUAACGUGAGUCGUGACGUAUGGAUCUCAAUCAUGCUGUGUUGCCAGGACGGCUGCUUCUGAUAGGCUUGUAACGUUAGUUAGAGCUGCGUUCCUCUCAUGUGAUUGCCUCACGCCGGAGAUCCGGCACGGUGCCGGAAUGCUUUAAGCCCUGAGUCCAGGUAAAGGUCAGUGAAAGUGUAAUGGUUAUCAGCUGGAGUGCCCCUGAGAGCCACCUGAGGGCACUCCAUAUCAGACUAUCAUUGUUCACUCACAACUACAUUUCCCAUAAUUCACUGCCCAGACUCAUCAUCCAUGAUUAUCACAUUCACCUGUCUCAUUAUAUUGUUUAGUUCACCCCAUAUUUAAGCCUGAUUCACCUCAUCAUUCCCUGUGGAGUCUUGUACGUUAUUCUACUGCAUUUAUGAGCGUUUCCUUUGUUUUUUGUUUCUUUAUUCCUGGUUUUAGAUUUCUGCUCGUGUCCUGGUUUUCCCGUUCCUGCCUCACCCUCUGGAUUUGUCUGUUUGUUUGGAUUGCCUGCCUUUGUUUGACCUUUGCCUUGAUUCUGAUCAUAAUUUGGAUUAACUUUAAUAAACUGCAUUUGGAUCCUCAACUUUCCUGUCUUUGAGCAGUUCAUAACAGAAAGUGAUUUUGUGACUCUUUGGCACCACAAGGUGUCGUUCAGUUGCAGAACACAAGCUUUUGGAGGACACAUAGAUCUGAAGCAGGAGUUUAGGUCUUGCUGCAGCAUCUGGAUCAGAUGCAGAGGUUGGACUGAUGCUGGAAGAGCUGGCAAGAGAGCACUACAAUAGUCCAGUCUGGAUAGAAAAAUAGCAUAAUAUAGGCUACAGUAUAAAACAAACUAUUCUUUGCUACUUUUAGGGCAAUCAUAUGGAAUCAGAAGACUCGUUCAUUACAAUUUAUUUAAGUUACUUCAUCCCAUGUGUGGAUGGCAAGUGUUUUUCACCCUUUACGCAAUUUUACUGUAAAUGUUCGUUUCUUAACCCUUUUAUGCAUAGAGGUCACUAGUGGACAGCUAUUAUCUACCGUGGACCUAGGUGCAUCAUCCUAUGCAUUGCAACCAAGUUGCAAGCCGUAGUCUGGGUUUUCCCAGGCUAGCCCCUUUUCUUCUAUCAGACUCCCGAAGGGGGAAAAAAAAUAUUGUAGCAUUAAGCAAUAUCUAAUGAGUCAUAUCACAGUUACAUUUUCUAAGUAUUGAUUUUAGAUCUGAUUAAUCGUCUGUCCACUAUAGAGGACCUCAUGCAUAAAUGGCUACAUUCCAGCUACAAUUCAUACUUAUACUGAGUGCUGUUUUUGAAAAUAACCAGCAUUUUGUGACUGUAAAUAAAUGUAUUUGUGUUAGAAUGUAAGUUUCAUUGACAUCAAAAAAAAGUCAUGUAAUUACAUAAUGUAUCUGACCUGUAAUGCAUUACUAUACUCAUUUGAUCAAAAAAAGUAAUCGAAUAAUGUAAUGCACAUUAGGGCUACUUGGCUAGGCUACUUGUUAGAUCAAAAAUUAUUCUGAUUACGUAAUGCAUGUUGCUUGUAAUGCAUUACUUUACUUGUUAGAUCAAACCGUAAUCUGAUAACGUAAUGCAGGUUUCUUUUAAUGCUUUUCUUUACUCGUAAUAUCAAAACAUAAUCUGAUUACAUAAUGCAAAUUACUUGUAAUUAAUUACUUUAUUUGUUAAAAAAUCAAUUAAAUCUUGUUUUUCAUGCCCUAAUGGCACUAAACACACACAUAGGAAAAAAAAUCCUGACUGCAGGUUAUUAUAAUUUAUGCAUACAAGGGUUGUUAAACAAACGAUUGCUUUACAGGUGCGACAGCAAAAAUGACUGUCCACUGGUCCAGGUGUGUUUACUUUGUGCAUUGUGUGUGUGUGUGUGU
Pimephales promelas (fathead minnow) is the source of this 2147-nucleotide non-coding RNA. NCBI's taxonomy places the organism in Eukaryota, Metazoa, Chordata, Actinopteri, Cypriniformes, Leuciscidae. The record is from RefSeq and is a predicted model, not a curated record.